Caenorhabditis elegans is the source of this 21-nucleotide non-coding RNA. Lineage: Eukaryota; Metazoa; Nematoda; Chromadorea; Rhabditida; Rhabditidae. The record is from Ensembl.
UCAGUAAGGAUUGCGCAAAUC